AUCAGAUUGAACGCUGGCGGCAGGCCUAACACAUGCAAGUCGAGCGGAUGAUUGGAGCUUGCUCCAUGAUUCAGCGGCGGGCGGGUGAGUAAUGCCUAGGAAUCUGCCUGGUAGUGGGGGACAACGUUUCGAAAGGAACGCUAAUACCGCAUACGUCCUACGGGAGAAAGCAGGGGACCUUCGGGCCUUGCGCUAUCAGAUGAGCCUAGGUCGGAUUAGCUAGUUGGUGAGGUAAUGGCUCACCAAGGCUACGAUCCGUAACUGGUCUGAGAGGAUGAUCAGUCACACUGGAACUGAGACACGGUCCAGACUCCUACGGGAGGCAGCAGUGGGGAAUAUUGGACAAUGGGCGAAAGCCUGAUCCAGCCAUGCCGCGUGUGUGAAGAAGGUCUUCGGAUUGUAAAGCACUUUAAGUUGGGAGGAAGGGCAGUAAGCUAAUACCUUGCUGUUUUGACGUUACCGACAGAAUAAGCACCGGCUAACUUCGUGCCAGCAGCCGCGGUAAUACGAAGGGUGCAAGCGUUAAUCGGAAUUACUGGGCGUAAAGCGCGCGUAGGUGGUUCGUUAAGUUGGAUGUGAAAGCCCCGGGCUCAACCUGGGGAACUGCAUCCAAAACUGGCGAGCUAGAGUAUGGCAGAGGGUGGUGGAAUUUCCUGUGUAGCGGUGAAAUGCGUAGAUAUAGGAAGGAACACCAGUGGCGAAGGCGACCACCUGGGCUAAUACUGACACUGAGGUGCGAAAGCGUGGGGGAGCAAACAGGAUUAGAUACCCUG
RNAcentral lists this ribosomal RNA (773 nucleotides) under uncultured Gammaproteobacteria bacterium. RNAcentral describes it as "bacterial SSU rRNA". It matches the Rfam family "Bacterial small subunit ribosomal RNA", at positions 23 to 789 of the family's 1533-position model. The record is from RNAcentral. Lineage: Bacteria; Pseudomonadati; Pseudomonadota; Gammaproteobacteria.